RNAcentral lists this ribosomal RNA (439 nucleotides) under uncultured bacterium. Its description in RNAcentral is "partial 16S ribosomal RNA". It matches the Rfam family "Bacterial small subunit ribosomal RNA", at positions 339 to 795 of the family's 1533-position model. The record is from RNAcentral.
CUACGGGACGCUGCAGUGGGGAAUAUUGGACAAUGGGCGCAAGCCUGAUCCAGCCAUGCCGCGUGAAUGAUGAAGGCCUUCGGGUUGUAAAGUUCUUUUAAUAGUGAAGAUAAUGACGGUAACUAUAGAAAAAGCACCGGCUAACUCCGUGCCAGCAGCCGCGGUAAUACGGAGGGUGCGAGCGUUGUUCGGAUUUACUGGGCGUAAAGGGUGCGUAGGCGGAUAUAAAGGUCAGGUGUGAAAUCCCGUGGCUCAACCUCGGAACUGCAUUUGAAACCGUAUAUCUAGAGUGUGAGAGAGGAUGAUGGAAUCUCUAGUGUAGCAGUGAAAUGCGUAGAUAUUAGAAGGAACACCAGAGGCGAAGGCGAUCAUCUGGCUCAUUACUGACGCUGAGGCACGAAAGUGUGGGUAGCAAACAGGAUUAGAUACCCUUGUAGUC